GCCAAAUCCCGUUUGUGGCAUACUCUUUUUACAGCCCUACCUCCUUAGGCAUGAUAUCUGCCACACAAUUACGUCAAAAUUAAAUAAUCAGCCACAGCGCUACGAGAAAGUAAAAUCCUGUGAUUAAAACGAGUGACAAACCUUUUAAGAAGCACAGGCCCUUACGCUGACACUGUUUCUAUUUCGUUGGGGUAAGCCAGACCUGCAGUUUUUCAAAGAGCUUUGCACUGCAACAGGGGGCAGGUCACAGAAAUUAAGAGAGCUCAGCUAAAAUUCCUGUUCAGCCCCGGAUCCCUGAGGAUGGAGGUAUCAUUACUCCCCCACUUCCAGAUGAAAAACUGAGGUUCUACGGAGUAAAAAGACUUGUCCAAGCUCCUUCAUAAGAAUGUCAGGCCCUCAAGAUGAACAAGAGGAACCUGGAGACUGCCUCAUGAAAUGAAGCCUGAGCUUCUCUCCAAACAGCCUCCGGGGAACCUUAGCACAAGCAGGUUACUGAUCCUUCGUGGCGGGGAGUGGAGGGCACCUCAUCCUUGCAUGAUGGGACAUAUUCCUGCCUCUUGGGUGCCACGUUUUUCCAAGCCUCUAGGCUUCUACGCCGAUAAGUCCCACAGCUGGAAAUGCCCUUUUCUUCUCUGCUCUCUCUACCAAGGCUGCUCCCUCCUCGGUGAAGCCCUCCGAGAAGUUCCACCCACUCCCCACACCACCACACUUGGGGACCUCAAGGGUUGAUCCCCUUCCUCAUUGGACUGGGACUUCUCCAGGCAGGACCUGAGCUUACAUUUCUUUUCCUUCCCAGUACGGAGCACAGUGCCUUCAAGUAUCAAGUCGAAACAGAUACUCAUUGAGCCCCAUGCCAGAUCCACCCGGCUGGGGGCAGUAAGAAAACUUACGCAGAGUCCAAGAUACAGGUCCUGAUUUUUACCGUCAUCAGAGUCACCUCUUCUACUUGCACAAAAACCCUAAAUUAAAAAGCAACACUUACUCCAUCCAAGGUAUGGACUGAGUUUUUCAAGAUUCCCUUUUCUCCAAGCAGAUCUUCACUAUCACUUUACUCAAAAUGAAAUUAAGAUAUUUCACGUUAAGUGUACACAUACCCACAAUCCCAGUUCUCCAGCAAACUUUCUGCACUAUAUCACGUACAAACCAAAAUGCUCUGGAGUGCUUUUACUUUUCCUAUGGCUAAAAGGUCUUUGUAUCCCUUUCGUCUCGAUAUCCAGUGGUGAGAAAAGUGAUUUAUCACCUGCCACGGUAGCUACGCAGUAUUCCCACCAUAAAUCGUCCUCUGUGACAAAACACUUAUCUUCAAAAACAGAUAGCAUCAACCAUUACUGCUUUUUAUGUCAAUGUCCCUUUUAUUUAAGAAUGACUCUGUUUUCCUUAUAAAUCCUUAAACAUAUUAGUAGAAGACUCAUUCGUAGCAAAUGCCUUCAGCGAGGAGCAGUCCAGCUGAAGCGGCGCUCUCGCUUCUAAGCAAAGGCGAAAUCCCUAAGCAAGCAAGUGCCACAGGGGCUCGGCCAAAGUGCAUUUUUCAAAGACCAGUGCCACUGGGUUGAAGUCAGCUCCAGAGGGCCGCGUGCCUUUUCAAUCAAAGCCACAGCUGCCCCAGCGAGAGCCCUGCCCUGGAAAAAGGGCCGGAGGCCUCUAUCUCUAAGAGCAGGUGGUCUCCCACCUCAUCAACAGAGCUCAUCUCACUCGGUGGCCCAGAACCCAGAGAGCAGAGGCGGCACCCUGAAAGCUGACAGGGACACACACACUUCCCGAAGAGACAGGGAUGUACCAUCCCCAUCCUGCACUGAGACAGGGCAGGACGAGAAGUGGAACAGGGGCUUUUAGGUCUGGGGAAAGUGUCCCAGGCAAUUUAGUACCUAUUGUGAGCCAGGGACAACGGGACGGUUUUCGGAAAACUAAGCAGGUUUGUGUCAACAGAAUUUUGACUCAUACGGAAAAAAGAUGUCAAGAAUCGCUUCACUUAACAUCUUCCUUACACAGAGAGGCGAGCUGGAGUCAGGUCUCCAAAGGAAGUCUCUCUUUUCAAACCCGAUGAUCACAACAAUAAAAACAACACAUCCAAUCUGUUUGCUCACAGCUGUGUGUUUUCUAACUUUUGACCGAUUUCAUGGGUGGUCACAUGGAUUGUCUUCCUCGACCUCUUAUCCCUCUUUCAAACAUUUUAAUCAGUUCUUCCCGAGGAUCAAAGUCCAUGUGGUCAAACUGCGAGUUUUGCUAACUCCUAACUCCGCUGGGUGGAAAUCCAAUGCUAUGUUUUCUUCCAGGAGACUCUGGUUGAGUCGAGGAAAGAAAAGAAGUGAUGGAUCAAUUCACCACAACACUCAGAAAUAUCAUGAACUUCCCUCUGUUCCCUGGAGUGUACCUCCAGACCUCACAUGGAUGGCAGGGAAUCAAGCUCUCUGCUGAUCUCUAUGGCAACAACCCCCAUAAACACACUGUACAUUCCGGCUGUGAGAGUGCGUAUAAUUCAGCCACAGCCGAAUUAUGGCGCCCCGGUUACAGGCGCACCGG
Molecule: long non-coding RNA, 2520 nt
Organism: Physeter macrocephalus (sperm whale)
Lineage: Eukaryota; Metazoa; Chordata; Mammalia; Artiodactyla; Physeteridae
Exons: 3
Source: RefSeq, a predicted model, not a curated record